UCCUGCCGGAGGCUACCGCUAUUGGAGUUCGAUUAAGCCAUGCGAGUCGAGAGUCUUAGGGACUCGGCGUACCGCUCAGUAACACGUGGGUAACCUGCCCUAUGCUGGGGAAUAACCUCGGGAAACUGAGAAUAAUGCCCCAUAGUCCACAAUGCCUGGAACGGUUUGUGGAUUAAAGCCCCGGCGGCAUAGGAUGGGCCUGCGGCGUAUCAGGUUGUAGGGGGUGUAACGUACCCUCUAGCCAUCAACGCGUACGGGUGUUGGGAGACAUAGCCCGGAGAUGGAUUCUGAGACACGAAUCCAGACCCUACGGGGUGCAGCAGGCGCGAAAACUUGGCAAUGCGAGAAAUCGUGACCAGGGAACUCCAAGUGGCUGGGGUAAGACCCAGUCUUUUCUUGACUCUUCAAAGGUCUUGGAAUAAGAGGUGGGUAAGGACGGUGCCAGCCGCCGCGGUAAUACCGGCGCCUCAAGUGGUAGUCGAUUUUAUUGGGCCUAAAACGUCCGUAGCCUGUUUGGUACAUUCGUGGGUAAAUCAACCAGCUCAACUGGUUGAAUUCUGCGAGCACGGCCAGACUUGGGACCGGGAGAGGUGUGGGGUACGCUCAGGGUAGGGGUAAAAUCCUGUCAUCCUGAGCGGACCACCUGUUGCGAAGGCGCCACACUAGAACGGAUCCGACGGUCAGGGACGAAGCCUAGGGGCACGAACCGGAUUAGAUACCCGGGUAGUCCUAGGUGUAAACGCUGUGGACUUGGUGUUGGGGAUUCUCCGAGGAU
This 775-nucleotide ribosomal RNA is filed under the name uncultured Candidatus Poseidoniales archaeon. RNAcentral describes it as "bacterial SSU rRNA". It matches the Rfam family "Archaeal small subunit ribosomal RNA", at positions 12 to 792 of the family's 1478-position model. Lineage: Archaea; Methanobacteriati; Thermoplasmatota; Candidatus Poseidoniia; Candidatus Poseidoniales. The record is from RNAcentral.